RNAcentral lists this long non-coding RNA (8230 nucleotides) under Solanum tuberosum (potato). RNAcentral's name for it is "long non-coding RNA (STUB_LNC010960)". The record is from RNAcentral. Lineage: Eukaryota; Viridiplantae; Streptophyta; Magnoliopsida; Solanales; Solanaceae.
GCCUUUGAAUAUCGCGAAUUUUUCAGACAAGUAGAAGGGAGAAAGAAUACAAAUCAUGGCAACUCCCGGUGUAGUAGUUAUCAGAGAUGCAUCAAUCUCUUCAACCUUCUUCUCCAAAUUCCUUUGUGAAUCUGUCGUGCACUUCAAGGUCGGAUUUACUAACUGUUGGCCUUUGACGAGCAAGAACCUUAUCAAAGUCUGUCUUUGUAAUGGGUGGCGGGAUGAUCUGCAAGGGCAUUAAUCAGCAAGCUGUUUAUAACUAGUCCCGGCAGAUAAGAAGACAGUUUAUGUAAAGCCAUAUCAGAACUUCAGACUAAAAUAUUACUAGUAAUUUUUUUCUUGAGCAGAGGAUCUAUCGGAAACAACCCCUCUCUACCUAACAAGGGUAGGGUAAGGACUGCGUAUACUCUACAUUCCUCAUACCCUACUUGUGGGAGCACACUGGGUCUGUUGUCGUUGUUGUUAAUUCUAAUAUCAGCUAUUCAGAAUUGACACAUAGGAAGAUGUAGUUCAUUAAAAGCACAAUCUCUUCUUACAUUUUAGUUCAACAAAAUCAUAUGAUACGCAGACCUUUAUGCUAGAAUCACAUUUAAUUACUGUAUUACUAGUGACUCGAAAGAAGUCAAAUUUCCAGACAUGUGCAGUCGUACUCCCCGGCCCCAAUAGAUUCCAGCUAAAACUCAUAAAACUUUUUUUUCUUUUUUGAGAAAGGUAAAGUUGCAACCAAAUAAAAAACUACUUAUGGCAGUGAUCUCAAACUAUACAUGUAUCCCGAAUAUCUACCUGAGAUGCAAGUCCUUUAGCAGCAAGCUCCUGCAUAGUUGUCUGCACAGCACCCCGUUGCUUCGGUCCGCAUGGAAUCCAGGUACCAUUAGAAGUUUGAGUAAAGAACACAGCAUCUUGUGUCUUACGUACGGGUUCAAAUAGCACGUCCUUGACCUGUCCAAGAAGAAAAAGUAUAUAAAUAUAUUAGGAGAACAUUGAGGAAUUGCCGCCUUUGUUACCUUCAGUACAAACCAGACAAAAACAUGUUGGGCAUCAAGGCAAAUUCAUUAAGGUCCAGACUUACACAAACAGAAACAUCUGAACCAGAAAAACCUUCUGUCUUACGGGCCAGGUCUUCAAAGUCACUCUCGCUCAAGUUAUGGGGGGUAUCACCUAAAUGAACCUGCACGUGUAACAAGCCAAUCUAAAUAAAUCUAGCUCUCACAAAUCGACUUGCAAUAUAUUUCCUUGAACUUCACUUUCCAAGAAAAAUCACAGAACAGAAUUUUACUUUGAACAUUUUUUUUUUGAUGAAGUAGUUUCAUUUAAAGGCGGGAUUUACUUUGAACAUGUGUUGCCGUGCCUUCAAAUCAGGGAGCGGAAUGUAGAUACGCUUGUCAAAUCUUCGCCGUAUAGCCUGUAGAGGACAAUUUCCAUCAGCAAUAAAUUUCAAAGAUAAACAACUUUUUACUGCAAAUCAUUCUUCACCUGAUCUAGGGCAUAGGGUGUGUUUGUCGCCGCAAGUACAAGAACUUUAUCAUCAUUGUGUCCAACACCCUGAAAAACAAAUUAAGAAAAAAAUAUCUUUAGCCAGGGGGAUUUCUCUUCCUCCAUAGCCAUGAUAGAUCAAUUACCUGCAUCUGCACAAGGAGUUCUGUUUUAAUACGUCGAGAAGCUUCACUUUCAUUUCCUUCUCCUCGCUGCCCACACAAGGAAUCAAUUUCAUCAACAAAUAUGAUGGAAGGAGCGCUUUCACGAGCCAUUUGGAAGAGGUUUGAAACUAGCUUUUCACUUUCACCCAUCCACUUGGAUACAAGGUCUGAUGAUGAGACGCUGCACGAAAAUAGCAGUUGGCACUCGCCAACUUUACAGCGUAAGCUCUUGAAAAUGGGAAACUGAGAAAAUAACUGACAAAGAAACAGAUACAGAACGACUAUAUUCAUGCAAGCAAUUCAUGUUUAUAUCCCUCCAUCAAGAUGAUUAUGUGCAAGUUUAAAAGAGAAAUUAGAUAGUGCAAAUGGAAGAUAUAUUACCACUGAGAACUGCAGAGAUUUCACGGAAUACUUGCAGGUAUAGAAUCAUUCAAGGAAUCAGGAAUCUUGACAUGGACCGCAAAAUGGAAGCCGAGUAUAUUAAAAUUUCAGGAAAAGGGUCAUUGUACUGUGUACAUAUUGUAUUUUGCUUCUAGAAAGGCAUCAAUCCAAUAAUUUCACAUGCUAUAGCUUGGUUGUCUCUAUUCAGGAGAUGUUAGGCAUCCCAAUAACCCCCACAAUGGCUCAUUGGUCAUCCCCUUAUGCUAGACUAUAGUCUUCACAUCCUGAAUACUUCCUAAGAUGGACAUGCAAAGACAUUUAUAUUAUGACUUAAGGGUGGAUGUGUACCUCUAUGGCAUGGCUGCUCUAUAGAAUUGGUACCAAAUCAAAACAUUCAACACCCUUGGAUACCAGACUAUAUUUAUCAACCAAUUCCAACAUCACAUUCUGUCCUAGAUGUAUAGAUCUGCAAGUGACACACCACCGAGGGGGACAACCCAGAUAUGACAUUUCUGGGGGAAAAGAACCUCAUGGGAAGUAGAUAUCCAAAAGAACCAUAAAGUCUUAACAAAAAUAAAGCUAAUAUAAAUACUACUCCCUCCAUUUCAAAUUAAUUGAAUUGUUGAGACAUUUUUCAUUUUUCAAUUUACUUAAUUGUUCAAUUAAAAAAAUUGUUCAAUUUUCAAGACUACUUUUAGAAUGUUCUUCCAAUUUUACCCUUCAUUAGUUAGCAUUGGAAUUAGUUAUUAAUUAGUCUUAAGUUAUUUUAAUCAUAAAUUUGACAAUAAUUAAUUAGGGUAAAAAUGGAAUGUUAUGCCUAAUUUAUGUCUUAAUCUUCUUUUCUUAAAGGGUGUGAAACAUCUCAACAAUUCAAUUAAUUUGAAAUGGAGGGAGUAUAAUUUAUGAGCAGAAAAUCAUUUCCCACAACAAAUAAGGAGCAACACCCACGAAACUACAACAACAACAACAACAACAACAACNNNNNNNNNNNNNNNNNNNNNNNNNNNNNNNNNNNNNNNNNNNNNNNNNNNNNNNNNNNNNNNNNNNNNNNNNNNNNNNNNNNNNNNNNNNNNNNGAGACAAUAACAAGAAAGAUAUAGGGAGUGAAACGCAGUAAACAGCAAAAGGCUAGGACUGCUCCAAACGCUAACAACCCAAGCCUUCGCAAGGGAAGACAACCCGCUAACCCUACUAACCUUCAACCUUAAUACGCGACCUCCACUCCUUCCUAUCUAGAGUCAUGUCCUCGGUGAUGUGAAGCAUAGCCAAGUCUUGUCUAAUCACCUCUUCCCAAUACUUCUUGGGUCUACCUCUACCCCUCCGCGUACCCUCUACCACCAUUACCUCGCACCUCCUCACUGGGGCGUCUGCACUCCGUCUCUUCACAUGUCCAAACCAUCUCAGUCUCGCUUCCCUCAGCUUGUCCACCACAGAGGCCACUCCCACCUUCUCCCGGAUAACCUCAUUCCUAAUCUUGUCGCUCCUAGUGUGCCCACACAUCCAUCUCAACAUCCUCAUCUCCGCAACAUGCAUUUUAUGAACAUGUGCGUUCUUAACUGGCCAACACUCCGCUCCAUACAACAAGGCCGGUCUAACUACCACUCUGUAGAACUUACCUUUAAGUUUCGGUGGAAUUUUCUUAUCACACAAUACUCCAGAGGCAAGCCUCCAUUUCAUCCAAGCAGCCCCAACGCGAUGUGUGACAUCAUCGUCGAUAUCGCCACUCCCUUGGAUUACAGCCCCAAGAUACUUAAAACUUUCCUUCUUAGGAAUGACUUGUGCGGCAAGUCUCACUUCCACAUCAUGGAUAUUGGAUCAUGACCAAGAUGGUAAAUUAGCAGGAGUUAAUUAAGAUUCAAACAAAACAAAAACAUUCUGAACGUACUGAGCAUAUAAAGAGGCUUACAUCAGCCAACUCCAUGCAAAGGCACAAGCAUCAUCCCACACUCCAAGAAGGAAAACGAAGGCAAUGUAAAAGACUCCUAGUCGACUUGGAUAUUGAACCACAUUCUAUAUUUAGUGAUUGAGCCCUUUACGUUCCUUACUACUACUGAUUCUUGACUCAAGCACCAAAUUACAUCAAAACAUCAUUCAUGCAAAGAAGAAAAUCAACAAGAGAAUAUGAGAAAGGAAGGUCAUAAAAACUAUAAAGAUAACAAAUUAUGAGAAAGGAAGGCCAAAAAAAAAAUUAUAAAGGAAAUUAAAUAAGAACCUAACAAGCAAAUGGUACAUCUUCUCCCCCGACUUCUUAUUGGUAUUCUGAGAUUUUCCUUUACAAUCUUUAGGGCUGCUAAGCAGAUCCUCAUUUUGCUCAAGAUCUUUUUUUCUUCACGAAUGACAGAUGAUAUGAUGUACAAAUUUUGCAAUUUAAAUACAGCCUUUCGUAUUUACAAAAUAAAAGCUGCAGUGAAUCAGGAAAUAUCUGAAGUUGAUAGCUUCUAUGUGCUGUAAAAUGGACAACAUUAUCAACAAACACAAUUGCAUGUAGGAAGACAAAUACCUAAAAAAAGUGGAUUCUGCUUCAGUAGCAACAGCUUUGGCCAAGUAAGACUUUCCUGUCCCAGGAGGACCAUAAAGAAGAAAAGCUCUCCACGGUCGCCUCUUGCCUGUAGGUACAUGAGAAAGGAGAAAAAAAACACUCAAACUGUUGUGGACAAAAGCACCCAAAAGAUUGCUCAAGUUAUGUCAUGCACACGUUGCAAAACCACUCAACCAUCUCUAAUAUAACACAAAGAGAAAAAGAACAUAUUACUCACCAAGUUUUUUUUCCUUAAUGAUUUUUAUCCCACUACUACUUUUUUGGUUGAGCUAGGAAGAGCUGUAACAUGAAUCCUGGACUAACUAUAAAGAGAAAUUCCAAAAUGUGGGAUUUACUCAGAGUUCACCUCUCAUACUUCAAAAGAAAAAGCCAGACAACCAACUGUCUCUAAUUGCUAAGCAAUGCAAUUAACCAAUCAGUUACCCAAGUAUAGAAGACCAUUUGCUCAAGAUCAUGCAGUCACAGGCAAAGAACUUCCUCCUUCACAUCGAGGCUCUUCAGGAAUCUAGUCAUGAGACUCCCAAAAUUGUACCUAAGGCCCUUUGGCAGCCUAGCCUUCUUCAUUGUAGACUUCAGCAUUUUCUUUACCAAACUUCACAUUUCAAAACACAUGCACAGACGCGCUCACACAAAUGUUGAAAGACAUUUAGAAUGUAGAGAAGUUAACUCAUCCACAGCAUCACUAAUAACCUAAGAACUCUUAAACAUGCUCAACAAAAAGCAAUUCAUUUUCUACUCAUAUUCAGCUAUCUACAGACUAACCUGGCACUUUGUGGUCCCCAAAUUGAAAGGGUUUAAAAUGUACAAUAGGUAAAGACUCAAACUUACUUCUUUCCAUAAGUUAAAAACUAGAACUAUUGGAACCCAUGUAACCCCAAUUAUGACAUAAGUGUCUUCUAACUAAUACUCCAUGGUGUUUGGUUUGCAACAUAAAACUCUGUAUAACUGCCUAUAAUUCCCACUGCAUAAUAAGCACUAUAAUCCCUUUAACGACACCUAACAUCAUAUUGCUACUUCCUUUACCCAAAAAAAAACUAAGGCAUAAUACAUAAACAGACACUCAAACUUGGCCUCAGCUCUCAACUGGCAACUAAAAACUACAACUUGCCCCCACUAUGUCUCGUGGAUACCCUGCACUGAUGUAGCUCAUAAAUUAUGGAGGUGUCUAGAUGAUCAUUUUGUAAGUUGGAGUGUUCAACGGACAGAGUGGAGACGAGUUGAAGUGUCAAGAUGGAGUGCUUACUUGCUAGCUGAGGGCAUGUUUGAGUGUCUGUUUAUGUAUUAUGCCAAAAAAUAAUUGUGUUUAAGCUACUUCAGAAUCACAAGGAAACCAUCAAUCAAAGCAACAAUCUUUACUAGCAAAAUGCAGCAAUAACACAAAAACAAUCCAACAAAAGCAUACACACACCUGUGAAGAACUGAGGGAAUUUCACUGGCAAAAUGACAGCUUCCUGCAAUGCCUGUUUAGCACUCUCCAAUCCAGCAACAUCAUUCCACUUCACAUUAGGUUUCUCUCUAACAAUUGCUGAAUUAAGCCCAGCCCUUAGCUUAGACUGCUCAGGAUCCUCCCCAUCCUCACCAUCCUUAGGCUUAGUCUUAGGCUUAGCAAUCACAGCUGCAUCUCCUCCAUUUGGACCAGGCCCACUCCCACCCUCAUCCAACACAGCCCUAAUCUCCUCCGCACGGCGUAAAUACUCUGUAAAUUUCUGGGUAAUUGCCUCCUUAAUCUUAGGAUUCUUCUCGUACUUCAAAUGGGUCUUGAAGUACUCCAAUGCAUUCAUAUACAACGGAAAUGCCUUGGCAUAGUUUCCACUAUUGUCCUCUUGCACUGCUUGCCUUACGUAAUCAAUUGCUUGCUCCUUGAAAUUGCUAUACAUCUUCGAUCAUAUAGAAAAAAAAAACCCACAAAAUUAACCAAGCAAAUUUCAGGGUUUUGAUCAGAACUCAAAAGGGUGUCCGCAAAACCACAAAACUAACCAAGAAAAUUAAUGGGUUUUCAUCAGAACUCAAAAGGGUGUUCGAAAAAAGUUGAUUUAAGAAAAAAAAAUCAUAUAAACAGUGUUCUGAGUAAUGGAUCUUUUUGAAGAUUUUGAGCUUUUUUGGGUGGAUUAGGAACCCUAAAAAUUGGGGAUUUUGGUUUUGAUUUAAGAAAAAGAUUGAUUAGAGAUCGAAGGUUGGAUUAUGGAAGAAGAAAACAUUUGAAAGAAUCGUAAUUUGUGAGUUUGAACGUUGAAAUUUACAGGGGAAAGUGUUUUUGUCAUACACCAAGGGCUGCUGUUAAGGAACGGAAAAAGGUCAAAAAUGUUGCUAAUUAAAAAUGAAAUGACUCAAAAAUAUAUCUCACUCAUAACUCAUACAGUUCAUUUUACUUGUUACGUAUUUUUAAAAUAGAUUUUUAUUUUACAAAUUAUGCAAAAUAGCAAAUAUUUAAAUCAUAUUAAAUAUUAUAGUUACACACCGCUAUAGUUUUGCUCAAUCUUGCUAUUAGCAUGAUUUGUAUAAUUUAUCUUAUUUGUAUAAUUCCAGAAUUUGUACACUUUGAUUUCUGAUUGUAUAAAAUUCAAAAUUAUAUAUAUAUUUACCCUAGUUGUUUUGUAUACGAUUUAUGAAAAAAUCAUAAUAAAUUACCCUAUUUAUAUAUUGGCAAGCGAAAUAUACAAAACGGAGUUUUGAAAAAUUUCUAAAUGUAUAAAUUCAGAAUUUGUAUGGACUAACCCUAUUUGUGUAUACAAACGGACGAAAAAUAUGCAACCACAACCUCCAUAGGUAACAAAUCUAUAGCUAUGGAGCGCAAUUAUCAAAACUAUAGAUAUAGAACCUCAUUGUCUAUUAUGUUUCCUAUUUCCGAAAUUUUUUGUCGAUAAUCAUUUUCUUUAUGGGUGUGUCAAGUCAAACAGUGACAAAUAAAAAAUCAGCAAAGGGAUAUUUUAUUUUACUAGAAAAGAGUGUUGGCCAAGAGCCUAAGACUAAGAACAUCUUUUCAAAAUGAAGAUCAGUUCCAUCUCCACUACAGCGUACCACCUUCAUUCAAUAUUGAAAUUAGAAUUAAAAGGUCAAAUACACACUUGAAGGCGUUACUGCUAUUCUUGUUUCCUAUGGAUGAUGACACAGCUCGACGUGUGACCUCCUUAUCACAUGACAACAACUUUACUAGUUAAGCCGAGGAAGCUCCCUCGGCACGUGAGUUUUAACUACACUCUAAAUAAGUUGGCCACAAGAAAAGAGAGGUUACCAGCUUUGUUGUUACUAUUAGCAGCACUUGCUGACAAAUUGUGAAUUAACUGCCUGCAAAUAGAAUUGUAAAAGGAAUACAACAAAGAGACUAGCAAAAUGUUCUGUCUUGACAUUAAUAAAUACAUGCAAAGCUAAAACUAAUACAAUCCAAGAAGGUAAACAAUGACAAUUUCCCAUUUGAAGAGCCUUUGAAUAACGCAAAUUUUUCAGACAAGUAGAGGGGAGAAAGAACACAAAUCAUGGCAACUCCAGGUGUAGCAGUAUACAUCAAUCUCAUCAACCUUCUUCUCCAAACUCCUUUGUGAAUCUGUCAUGCACUUCAAGGUCGGAUUUACUAACUGUUGGCCUUUGACGAGCAAGAACCUUAUCAAAGUCUGUCUUUGUAAUGGGGGGCGGUAUGAUCUGCAAAGGCAUUAAUCAGCAAGAUGCUUAACUAGUCC